This 419-nucleotide long non-coding RNA is filed under the name Manihot esculenta (cassava). Its description in RNAcentral is "long non-coding RNA (MESC_LNC005272)". The record is from RNAcentral. Lineage: Eukaryota; Viridiplantae; Streptophyta; Magnoliopsida; Malpighiales; Euphorbiaceae.
GGCUAUAUGACCUAUCCCACUGCCAAACAUCUUCAGCCUGGUCCUACAUCUGCUGGCUAGAAAAGCUUGGUGGAGGCAUUGGAGGCCUACCCACCUGAGCACCGGGAGUGAAAUUUGCCAUUGUUCCACUGCCACCAGGCGGAGGUGGUGGAGCAGGUGGAGUUCCCCCUGGAGGCAUAGGCCUAGGACCAUUUGUCAUGGGAGGUGGAGGAGGGGGUAAUGAUCCAGGCAUUGGUGGCGGAGGUGGUCUAGAUCCUGCUGGUAGUCCUUGUGAUGGAGGUGGUGGAGGAGGUGGAGCUUGGGGAGGUGGUGGCAAAGACCUCGGUGGGACACCAGGAGCUCCUGUGCCAUUUGCUGCAGGCGCAGAUUGAGGUUUGUUUGCCUCUGGAGGCUUGGUUUUGAAAUAUAACUGCAACUGC